Long non-coding RNA from Beta vulgaris subsp. vulgaris (sugar beet), 327 nucleotides. RefSeq lists it as uncharacterized. The transcript has 3 exons. The record is from RefSeq and is a predicted model, not a curated record. Lineage: Eukaryota; Viridiplantae; Streptophyta; Magnoliopsida; Caryophyllales; Amaranthaceae.
UCAAAGGGAAGCAAAGAGGUUUCAAGAAUAAUUAAAGCCAGUCAAACUUUGACUGUUGAUUUUUGUGUAAUCAAGAGUUUAGAGAAGAAGUUGCAGGUACAAGUUCUUGAUGUGCAUGGAAAUCAUAAGCAUCCGGAUGGGAGUUUUAGUACACGAGUACUUUCUUAUUUAAGUUAUCUUGAAUUUUAUAUUUGACUUUACUUGACCAAUGGGGUCAAGGUUUGACUUUUGAAUAUGGGACUAGUAUGGGAUAGUCUCGGAGUUUGUAAUUCAUUUACAUACUUUCUUAUUUCUAUUGUAUUAAAGUAUUUCCAGUUUAUUUUAAAA